Molecule: long non-coding RNA, 151 nt
Organism: Polistes canadensis
Lineage: Eukaryota; Metazoa; Arthropoda; Insecta; Hymenoptera; Vespidae
Exons: 2
Source: RefSeq, a predicted model, not a curated record
UGCAUGAAUCGUGACGUCACGCGUCGACUGCUUUGAAAUCAAGCAGAGUCAGUCGCGCGGCGAACUUCGUGGCGUGUGUUUGUCUUUAUUGGGGGUUGGUUUGUUGGUUUAUACACGUACGUGGGUGUUUAUUUAGAAAAAAAAAAAAAAA